CGCGUGGAAACAUACCUUUUGCUUCGGAAUAUUCCCGGGAAACUGGGAGCAAUACCGAAUGUGCCCUGAGGGGGAAAGAUUUAUCGGCAAAAGAUUGGUCCGCGUUAGAUUAGGUAGUUGGUAGGGUAAAGGCCUACCAAGCCUACGAUCUAUAGCUGGUCUGAGAGGAUGAUCAGCCACAUUGGGACUGAGACACGGCCCAAACUCCUACGGGAGGCAGCAGUGGGGAAUAUUGGACAAUGGGCGAAAGCCUGACGCAGCCAUGCCGCGUGAAUGAUGAAGGUCUUAGGAUUGUAAAAUCCUUUCACCGGUGAAGAUAAUGACUGUAGCCGGAGAAGAAGCCCCGGCUAACUUCGUG
RNAcentral lists this ribosomal RNA (358 nucleotides) under uncultured Alphaproteobacteria bacterium. RNAcentral describes it as "bacterial SSU rRNA". It matches the Rfam family "Bacterial small subunit ribosomal RNA", at positions 114 to 507 of the family's 1533-position model. Lineage: Bacteria; Pseudomonadati; Pseudomonadota; Alphaproteobacteria. The record is from RNAcentral.